CCAAUAGCGUAUAUUAGUGUUGUUGCGGUUAAAAAGCUCGUAGUUGAAUUUCGGGAUUGGGAUAUAUCGGUCGUGCCUUUAGGGGCAUGAAUCAGUGUGUGGCCAAUUCUCACCUUCUGGUGAAUUGGGAUGCUCUCGGGUGUUUCAAUGAACUAGGACUUUUACUUUGAAAAAAUUAGAGUGUUUAAAGCGGGCAUUUUUGCUUGAAUACGUUAGCAUGGAAUAAUAAAAUAGGACGAUGGUUCUAUUUUGUUGGUUUUAGGACCACGUAAUGAUUAAUAGGGAUAGUUGGGGGCAUUAGUAUUCAAUUGUCAGAGGUGAAAUUCUUGGAUUUAUUGAGGACUAACUACUGCGAAAGCAUUUGCCAAGGAUGUUUUCAUUAAUCAAGAACGAAAGUUAGGGGAUCAAAGACGAUUUAUGUACGUCGUAGUCCUAACCAUAAACUAUGCCGACUAGGAAUCAGACAAAGUUAAUUUUUUAACGACUUGUUUGGUACCUUAC
RNAcentral lists this ribosomal RNA (501 nucleotides) under uncultured Glomeromycotina. RNAcentral describes it as "partial small subunit ribosomal RNA". It matches the Rfam family "Eukaryotic small subunit ribosomal RNA", at positions 591 to 1091 of the family's 1831-position model. Lineage: Eukaryota; Fungi; Glomeromycota. The record is from RNAcentral.